This 164-nucleotide ribosomal RNA is filed under the name uncultured bacterium. Its description in RNAcentral is "partial 16S rRNA". It matches the Rfam family "Bacterial small subunit ribosomal RNA", at positions 355 to 511 of the family's 1533-position model. The record is from RNAcentral.
UAGGGAAUCUUCUACAAUGGACGCAAGUCUGAUGGAGCAACGCCGCGUGAGUGAAGAAGGUCUUCGGAUCGUAAAACUCUGUUGUUAGAGAAGAACACGAGUGAGAGUAACUGUUCAUUCGAUGACGGUAUCUAACCAGCAAGUCACGGCUAACUACGUGCCAA